CAAUAGACUGGCUUCACAUGAGGGAGUUGGUGCACUUCUCUUUUUAGGAAGAUUCCUAAAAAGGAGGUGAUGCCAAUGGGGAUUGAAUCGGUGUUAACGUUAAUGAUAUCCUUUGGGAUGCUUAUUGCGUUUAUCAUGUCUGACAAGAACCAAAAAAAAUAACCCCUCAUGUGUUUUAGCCAGGCGCUGAGGGAUUACUUCUCUGAGUGUACCGCCCCCUUAUGGGGUUGGUCUAUUGGAACCGUUCCAUGUGUCCAGCAUGGAGC
RNAcentral lists this small RNA (266 nucleotides) under Oceanobacillus picturae. RNAcentral's name for it is "BsrG". Lineage: Bacteria; Bacillati; Bacillota; Bacilli; Caryophanales; Bacillaceae. The record is from Rfam by way of RNAcentral.